AUUGCUUCCCUGUUGAAGUGAAGAUAUAAAUGUUCCAUUCUGACCCACCUUUGAAAAACAAUUACUUUGCCCCAUGGAUUCUUUGUUCAAUUAGAAAUUUCCCCGGGGCAGGUGACCCAUAGUCUUAAAGAACAGGCUAAACACCACAGAGAGAUUGGUUGCUUUUUGCUUUUCAUCACCUGCAAGAUGUACAUAAAAAUCACAUAAGCUGGAAUUCAACAAAAGACCUCUGACUAUGUGAAGAUACGGUGGGAAGAUGACUGACCGCAAGACAGGAAGAGAGCCCUCACCGAGGAACCAAAUUGGCCAGUAUCUUGAUUUUGGAUUUCUCAACCUCAAGAACCAUGAGAAAUGAAUGUCUGCUGUUCAAGCCACCCAGUCAAUGAAAAAGUUUGGAAACCUUCAUCUAGAAAGUGGUCUAGCAAAGUGUGGUCCAUGGAUGAGUUUGAUCUGCAAACUGCUUGUUAUUGGUUCAUGACAAGAAUUGGUUCCAAACAGUAAAGCCGCCAGAAAAAACAGACAAACUCUUAGGAACAAC
RNAcentral lists this long non-coding RNA (538 nucleotides) under Homo sapiens (human). RNAcentral describes it as "long intergenic non-protein coding RNA 1619". Lineage: Eukaryota; Metazoa; Chordata; Mammalia; Primates; Hominidae. The record is from RNAcentral.